AUGGACCAUUCCAUCCCUUUUUCCCGUGCAUAUGCAUCGGACUCGGAUGACGAUGGUCCCGAUGAACAAGUUGAUGCGGAGGGGUUCACGGUGAAGGAGGCCGAAGCUUUCGAGAAGGUAUUUGGUCAGGAUCAUCGGACUACAUUGUUCAAGGAUGUUAGUCUCGCGGAAGAAGCCGUGGUAGAUGGUGGCCAGUGUGUACCUCUUGGGGUUAGGCCAAGCUCUCAC
This 228-nucleotide ribosomal RNA is filed under the name Triticum aestivum (bread wheat). RNAcentral's name for it is "partial small subunit ribosomal RNA". Lineage: Eukaryota; Viridiplantae; Streptophyta; Magnoliopsida; Poales; Poaceae. The record is from RNAcentral.